UACGGAGGGAGCUAGCGUUGUUCGGAAUUACUGGGCGUAAAGCGCGCGUAGGCGGCUUUUUAAGACAGGGGUGAAAUCCCGGGGCUCAACCCCGGAACUGCCCUUGAAACAGGAUGGCUAGAAUACUGGAGAGGUGAGUGGAAUUCCGAGUGUAGAGGUGAAAUUCGUAGAUAUUCGGAAGAACACCAGUGGCGAAGGCGACUCACUGGACAGUUAUUGACGCUGAGGUGCGAAAGCGUGGGGAGCAUACGGG
This 253-nucleotide ribosomal RNA is filed under the name uncultured bacterium. RNAcentral describes it as "partial 16S ribosomal RNA". It matches the Rfam family "Bacterial small subunit ribosomal RNA", at positions 524 to 776 of the family's 1533-position model. The record is from RNAcentral.